Molecule: long non-coding RNA, 1788 nt
Organism: Siniperca chuatsi (mandarin fish)
Lineage: Eukaryota; Metazoa; Chordata; Actinopteri; Centrarchiformes; Sinipercidae
Exons: 3
Source: RefSeq, a predicted model, not a curated record
GGAAAAUGCUGGUAACAAUGGCAUUCUUAAUUCUGAUUCUAAUGAUUCAAUUUAAGAUGAGGCGCAACCACAAGGCUCCACACCAGAGAGUGAGGUAGAGCAUACUGAGCCACAUCAGACAGAGCAUGUGCGAUUGUCAGUAGACCGCAGGUAGAGCGAGGGGAGACUGUCCACCGUUAAUACACCUGGGCGGCCCGACCAAGUAAAGUCGAUGUGUGGGAAACACUGCUUGAUCCUUUGUAACCUCACCACUUCCACUACUGAAGUAGCUCCCCUUUUUGGAACCAACUCAACCGUGGAGCCGGUAGCAAUGUUACUUUCGCUUUCAGCCAUGCUUGUUGUUGCUGUGCACAACAUCAUUAUGUCAACAAGUCGAAAUGUUGCCAUUAUCACAAUAUGAUUUUUUUUUCAUAUUAAAAAUGAUACAGGUAUUAUCAUGAACGAUGUGAUAUGACACACCCCUGCUCAUGACUGUACCCUGAAUAUGAAGCUUCAGCCUGCAGUGCCUGCGAAGAGUUUAUGGGCCGUACAUCAGUUGUAUCAGGUGAUGCAUCUAUGAGAGCUACUUGGAGUUAUCCAUCUUCCCACUGCCAGGCAGAAAGGUUAUGCUUAAAAUUAUGUAACACCAUGACUGAGAGAGAAAAGAAGACACAGAAAGACAUUAACUGUUACAACCAGAUACUGCAGUUUUUUUAAUUAUUCAGAAACCUCUCGUUUUAGAGAAUCAUGUUAUCCCUGUGUAUUACAGUAUAAACUGUAGAGUGAAAUCACAGAGCUCAUUCUUUUGAAUCUGAAGAGUAAGUGAGCAACAGCAGCAGACACUCAAUAUCUCCCAGCACAUGUAAUCCAAUAACGUCUUGUACGGACAGAAUCAGGGAGGGAGCGGCUGUGGGUGUAAAUCUACCAGUCUCUGAUUGCUUAGCUACACCACACGCUGUAUAAGACACACACACACAACACACACAUAUCCAUUGCUGAGGAGUAAAGUCAGAGUUUGGAUUCCUUUGAAUGCAAAAUAAGCAUAAAGACAACAAUGAACCUGAUUAAAAACACUUGAUAAUACUUCGGCACGGAUGAGGUGACUUAUUUAGAUCUGUUCUGAAGAUACACUUCAGUCUGUUGGUUUACUGUAAAUGGAGUUUUUAUUUUUUAUUAGGAGAGCUGAUGAUUUAUUUGUAGACUGUGUGUGUGCCCAGAAUAUAUUUACAGCGCAAGCUUGAUUCUUGCCACAAAACAUUAUUUUCAUUAGGACAUUUGGUACAGUAAAUACUGUAUUGUUUGUGAACAGGCCUACUGUGUUCUAAAUUCGAUUAAUUUCAUGUAUUGUUUUUUAUGUGUAUUUCUUAUUGUUAUUAAAGAGAUAUGGAAUGACAGCUGUCAGUGAAGAGCUAUGGAACCCAGGUGGUAUUAUGAAAUGUCAUAAGCUUGGGUUUUUAAAUAUGAUUGAUGGUGUGAUAUUAAGGAUUAAGAAAGACACCAACAGUGCCAUUUCUGGGCAUUUUGGUGCCCUAGGGGAUCUAUCUUUUCACAGCCAAAUAUUUUAAUAUUUUAGUUUGUAUUUAAUCACAUAGUCUGUCAAUUAGUACUUUUAGAUGUACACUAGUGUCGCUGUUGUGACUUAUGGUUUUAAUCAUAUUUAGGAUAAGAUAAGCAACAUGAUUGCCGUGCAGGAGUGUCUCUGACUCCUCAACUGCUGAUGUGCAGGUAUUAUCAGUAUCUGACUUUCACAUAUGGAUGUUCUGACCAUGUCUUAGGAUCCAAUAUUUAAUUUAAUUCAUUUUUUUUUCA